This 307-nucleotide unclassified non-coding RNA is filed under the name Hevea brasiliensis (rubber tree). Lineage: Eukaryota; Viridiplantae; Streptophyta; Magnoliopsida; Malpighiales; Euphorbiaceae. The record is from RNAcentral.
AAGCUUGUGGGAUCAGCUACAUUCCUGUAACAAGAUUAAGAUGAGGUGGGAGUUGAGGUAUGCAAUUGCAGUAGGGGCUGCAAGGGGAUUGGAGUACUUGCAUCAUGGGUUCGAUAGGCCAGUGAUUCACAGAGAUGUGAAGUCGAGUAAUAUUUUGUUGGAUAAGGAGUGGAAGCCUAGAAUUGCUGAUUUUGGACUUGCUAAGAUUAUGCAGGCUGCCGGUGGAGGAGAUUCGAGUCAUAUCAUUGCCGGCACUCUUGGUUACAUGGCUCCUGAGUAUGCAUACACAUGCAAGGUAAAUGAGAAG